AGAUUGAACGCUGGCGGCAUGCCUUACACAUGCAAGUCGAACGGCAGCACGGGGGCAACCCUGGUGGCGAGUGGCGAACGGGUGAGUAAUGCAUCGGAACGUGCCCAGUAGUGGGGGAUAACUAGUCGAAAGAUUAGCUAAUACCGCAUACGACCUACGGGUGAAAGCGGGGGAUUCGCAAGAACCUCGCGCUAUCGGAACGGCCGAUGUCUGAUUAGCUAGUUGGCGGGUAAAAGCCCACCAAGGCUUCGAUCAGUAGCUGGUCUGAGAGGACGACCAGCCACACCUGGGACUGAGACACGGCCCAGACUCCUACGGGAGGCAGCAGUGGGGAAUUUUGGACAAGUGGGCGCGAAGCCUGAUCCAGCCAUGCCGCGUGCGGGAGAAGGCCUUCGGUUGUAACCGCGUUUGGCGAGAACGAAACGGCGCGGAGCGAAUAUCGUACGUACGUUAA
Molecule: ribosomal RNA, 454 nt
Filed under: uncultured soil bacterium
Lineage: Bacteria
Description: bacterial SSU rRNA
Rfam family: Bacterial small subunit ribosomal RNA
Source: RNAcentral